RNAcentral lists this ribosomal RNA (425 nucleotides) under uncultured bacterium. RNAcentral describes it as "bacterial SSU rRNA". It matches the Rfam family "Bacterial small subunit ribosomal RNA", at positions 356 to 773 of the family's 1533-position model. The record is from RNAcentral.
GGGGAAUAUUGGACAAUGGGCGAAAGCCUGAUCCAGCCAUGCCGCGUGUGUGAAGAAGGUCUUCGGAUUGUAAAGCACUUUAAGUUGGGAGGAAGGGCAGUUACCUAAUACGUGAUUGUUUUGACGUUACCGACAGAAUAAGCACCGGCUAACUCUGUGCCAGCAGCCGCGGUAAUACAGAGGGUGCAAGCGUUAAUCGGAAUUACUGGGCGUAAAGCGCGCGUAGGUGGUUUGUUAAGUUGGAUGUGAAAUCCCCGGGCUCAACCUGGGAACUGCAUUCAAAACUGACUGACUAGAGUAUGGUAGAGGGUGGUGGAAUUUCCUGUGUAGCGGUGAAAUGCGUAGAUAUAGGAAGGAACACCAGUGGCGAAGGCGACCACCUGGACUGAUACUGACACUGAGGUGCGAAAGCGUGGGGAGCAAAC